Molecule: long non-coding RNA, 622 nt
Filed under: Homo sapiens (human)
Lineage: Eukaryota; Metazoa; Chordata; Mammalia; Primates; Hominidae
Description: HSALNT0234944
Source: RNAcentral
CCUACCUCAGAUUCAUACCUGAGCUUCAAUAGGAGCCUCUGGGAGCCAGCGCCCUGCUCCAAGAGAACGGCGGGAAUGGCGGGAUUCAGGCAUGGGGGCAGCUCCGUGAGGGAGGUAUUUGGGGACAGGUUAGGUACUUCUGAAAAAGCAAGCUGUCAUUCAAGGCACCCUUCAUUGGUACAGGAUGUUAAACAGGUUAUGGAAUAAGAAAAUCCACUAAAAUGGAAAUGCUUGUUUGAGUGACUGGAGCAAGCAUACAGAUCUCAGAGGGUGUGCUUCGUGCAAACAGGCAAGCUUUUAGAAAAGAAGAGACAUUUUUUACAAGUCCCUUAAAGUCACACUGAUGCAUUUGUAGUCAGGCUAUAAUGAUCUUUGACAUCUUGCAUGGACUUGCCUCCCAGAGCCAACCCAGAUUCAGCAGCUUUCGAAAUUCUAAAGCACAGGUUACAGGUUUCUGCGCAUUUUACAAAAUUCAAAAGUAUCAACACAGGAAAAAAAAUUUCCAAAGCUGGACUUCUACAUAAACAAAGACAACCCGAAGAGAAUGUGACAGAUACUCUCGCUUCGUGCCUCUAAACCAGGACAUGCAAGCCUGGACUUGGAGUUAAAAACAAAGGCAGCC